Long non-coding RNA from Bos taurus (domestic cattle), 698 nucleotides. The record is from Ensembl. NCBI's taxonomy places the organism in Eukaryota, Metazoa, Chordata, Mammalia, Artiodactyla, Bovidae.
GGAGGUUCGCCCCGACUCUGCCCGGUGGGGAGCCUCUCCUUGCGUGCCUUUUUACUUUGCACAGAGCAAUCAUUGGCGCAAUGGCCUUUUUCCUGCCCACCUUCUUUCUCAGGAAGCUCCUCGGGGCAGCUCCAGGGCCCCUCACCUUGGGGGAGGGUCAGUCUUUUCUCUAAACUGGGCAAUGUUAGAAGACUCAGGUGAAAGAGCAGCUCCCGCUUCCCAGGCUGCCUGCGGCCCCCAGAUGCAAAGCCAGCAGCAGGAGGCUUCAGGAGAGAUCGGCUGCCAGCUGAACCAAGAACUACAGGCUUUAGACGAUGGAUAAGAGAACCGCCCAUGGGGAGGACACCUAUCAGCUUCCUCUCAGUCCCAGAGCGUUCUUAGCACUGGCACAAAAGAAAAGCCCUGCCCAGGUUCUGACGUCAUCAGGCUCGGGCAUGAAAGGAAAACAAGAUGACCCUGCUGGUGUGCUCCAGAGGAAGACCAGCCUUCAGGUAGGCAGAAGCAGGCUGAGCCGGCACUGUUACCACAGACAGAACCAUCUACCGUGAGAUUUUUCUGUAACUGCUUUUAAAAUGUUCGUUCAGUUUCUUUACCAAUUACACUUCAACACAGCCCCACCCCACCCAGAGGUUAAUCCGCUCAGCCUCUGCUGCGGACCAGCCGUCCCCCUCACUUCACCUCCACCCCGGGCCCAACAG